Molecule: ribosomal RNA, 273 nt
Filed under: uncultured bacterium
Lineage: Bacteria
Description: partial 16S ribosomal RNA
Rfam family: Bacterial small subunit ribosomal RNA
Source: RNAcentral
CAAUCUAUGUCGGCGACCGGCGCACGGGUGCGUAACGCGUAUGCAACUACCCAUUACAGGGGGAUAACACUGAGAAAUCGGUACUAAUACCCCAUAACAUCCAGGGAGGCAUCUUCUUGGGUUGAAAACUCCGGUGGUAAUGGAUGGGCAUGCGUUGUAUUAGUUAGUUGGUGGGGUAACGGCUCACCAAGGCGACGAUACAUAGGGGGACUGAGAGGUUAACCCCCCACAUUGGUACUGAGACACGGACCAAACCCCUACGGGAGGCAGCAG